GCUUAUUCUUUUUGAAUAUUGCUUUGGGUUGUGCUUAUGCUCAGCCCAGAGGUCUUAAACACAAAGAUUUAUUCUUUUAUUUUAAACAAUAGUCAUGAAAAUUUUAACAAAUUAAAAUAUUCAAAACUUUCAACAACGGAUCUCUUGGUUCUCGCAACGAUGAAGAACGCAGCGAAUUGCGAUAAGUAUUGUGAAUUGCAGAUUUUCGUGAAUCAUCGAAUCUUUGAACGCACAUUGCACCCUCUGGUAUUCCAGAGGGUAUGCCUGUUUGAGCGUCAUUUCUCUCUCAAAACUUUUAGUUUUGGUAUUGAGUGAUACUCUAUCCAGGGUUAACUUGAAAUAAGAUAUGGCAAGAGUGUGCUAGGCGCAGCUUGAGCUUGUGUAAUGUAUUAGGUUCUACCAACUCAUUAAACAACUCUCGUUUUGAACCUGGCAUAUUGGCUCGGCCUAACAACAUCUUCAUAAAGUUUGACCUCAAAUCAGGUAGGACUACCCGC
Molecule: ribosomal RNA, 497 nt
Filed under: Taiozyma odintsovae
Lineage: Eukaryota; Fungi; Ascomycota; Saccharomycetes; Phaffomycetales; Wickerhamomycetaceae
Description: eukaryotic LSU rRNA
Rfam family: 5.8S ribosomal RNA (bases 125-278)
Source: RNAcentral